GAAAGGCUUCGGCCGGACAGGGAUGGGCAUGCGGCGCAUUAGGCAGUAGGCGGGGUAACGGCCCACCUAACCGACGAUGCGUAGGGGUUCUGAGAGGAAGGUCCCCCACACUGGUACUGAGACACGGACCAGACUCCUACGGGAGGCAGCAGUGAGGAAUAUUGGUCAAUGGUCGGGAGACUGAACCAGCCAAGCCGCGUGAGGGAUGAAGGUACAGAGUAUCGUAAACCUCUUUUGUCAGGGAACAAAGGCGGGGACGUGUCCCCGGAUGAGUGUACCUGAAGAAAAAGCAUCGGCUAACUCCGUGCCAGCAGCCGCGGUAAUACGGAGGAUGCGAGCGUUAUCCGGAUUUAUUGGGUUUAAAGGGUGCGCAGGCGGUCUGUUAAGUCAGCGGUCAAAGCCCGGGGCUCAACCCCGGCCCGCCGUUGAAACUGGCAGUCUCGAGUUGGAGAGAAGUAUGCGGAAUGCGCGGUGUAGCGGUGAAAUGCAUAGAUAUCGCGCAGAACUCCGAUUGCGAAGGCAGCAUGCCGGCUCCACACUGACGCUGAGGCACGAAAGCGUGGGUAUCGAACAGGAUUAGAUACCCUGGUAGUCCACGCAGUAAACGAUGAAUGCUGGCUGUCCGGGGGGACUGACCCCUGG
This 642-nucleotide ribosomal RNA is filed under the name uncultured bacterium. Its description in RNAcentral is "bacterial SSU rRNA". It matches the Rfam family "Bacterial small subunit ribosomal RNA", at positions 202 to 842 of the family's 1533-position model. The record is from RNAcentral.